Molecule: ribosomal RNA, 513 nt
Filed under: uncultured bacterium
Lineage: Bacteria
Description: partial 16S ribosomal RNA
Rfam family: Bacterial small subunit ribosomal RNA
Source: RNAcentral
GACGAACGCUGACGGCAUGCCUAAUACAUGCAAGUCGAGCGAACAGAUGAAGUGCUUGCACUUCUGACGUUAGCGGCGAACGGGUGAGUAACACGUAAGGAAUCUACCUAUAAGCGGGGGAUAACAUUCGGAAACGGGUGCUAAUACCGCAUAAUAUCUUCUUCCGCAUGGAAGAAGAUUGAAAGACGGCUCUGCUGUCACUUAUAGAUGACCCUGCGGUGCAUUAGUUAGUUGGUGGGGUAACGGCCUACCAAGACGAUGAUGCAUAGCCGACCUGAGAGGGUGAUCGGCCACAUUGGGACUGAGACACGGCCCAAACUCCUACGGGAGGCAGCAGUAGGGAAUCUUCCGCAAUGGGCGAAAGCCUGACGGAGCAAUGCCGCGUGAGUGAAGAAGGCCUUCGGGUCGUAAAACUCUGUUAUAAGAGAAGAACAAAUUGUAGAGUAACUGCUACAGUCUUGACGGUAUCUUAUCAGAAAGCCACGGCUAACUACGUGCCAGCAGCCGCAGUAA